This is a long non-coding RNA of Passer domesticus (house sparrow), 2049 nucleotides long. RefSeq lists it as uncharacterized. The record is from RefSeq and is a predicted model, not a curated record. Lineage: Eukaryota; Metazoa; Chordata; Aves; Passeriformes; Passeridae. The transcript has 4 exons.
AUUCAGUGACCAGGCUGAGUGUGCUUGUGAGCAGUGGGAGCAGUGCAUUGGCAUCCAGCCUGCUGCUGAGUCCCUAAAAACGCAGGUAAAAUGAGAUAAUUCACAUUAAAUAAAAGGCAGGAGUGUUGGAUACACAGCAAUUCAGGUGGGAGCAGUGGGAGCGCUGCAUUGGCAUCCAGCCUGCUGCUGAGUCCCUAAAACCUCGGGUAAAAUGAGAUAAUUCUCAUUAAAUAAAAGGCAGGAGUGUUGGAUACACAGCAAUUAAGGUCUGACCCCCAGAGCAAACCAAACCUUCCUAUGGGAGCAAUCCCUGAGGGCUCAGCUCUGUCCCCUCGUGCUGCCAUGUAAAUCCAGAACAGUUUCCUUUGAUAAAUCUGGGAACGGGACAAAGCCACUGCAAUUAAUCAUUUAGUGAUGAAGUACGAAAGCAAAUGGAUUCGGGAUCUUUCUGGAAGGUGAAUAUGAACACAAAAAUAGAGUUGCACUGCCAGCCCCCUUUCUGCUGGAUAAAGUUUCACAUCCUUUAAAGGACACCCAGUUGUCUCCUCUGUGUAGCAAAGAUCUCCCACCUCUUUCACAAAGCUCCCAUGACUUAUCUAUUUUUGUUUUUCCCAGCUGUUGUUGUAAAAUCUGUUAUCUUUAAUGUAUUACCCUGAAAAACAACACACCUUUGAGAAGGCCAGUGGACUGUGACAUAAUUAGAUGCAAAAUGCACAUCUAAAAGCUGUUUACUUCCUGUAACACCAGGAUAACUACUAAUGAAUCACCCACUCUGGGGAUUCUCAGUUUGUAACUGGAUACUCCACAAACUUCUUAUCAGAUCAACAAUGAUUUCUGUCAAAAAAAGGGCAAAAAAAAGAAAAGUGGGGGUGGGCAGGUUUUUUUUUUCCCCCUGAAACCAGAGUUUAGCCUAUAUGCACCAAUUCUAAAGCAUUUUUAGCAUGUCAGGCAGAGUAGUCAUGGUGAGUUUGAAGGGAUAAGGGAAGAUAAAGUGUAUCAAAGCAGGAUCUGACACUCGUGAUGCUAUGCAGACCUUUCUUUCUGAGAGCAUCUCGCGGGCUGGACUGACAGCAGGGAUUAAUCCAUGCAAUGGCAAUAAACAAUAGUUGAAGUGGGGUUGAGGCCUAACACCUGGAUGUUGUGUUAGCCGCAGCCCAGGAGCCUGCUUCACGCUGGGGCUGAAUUUAUGUGAUUCUGGCACUGUUGCUUUGCCAGCGACAGAGCUGACAGAGCUUCCAAAGAGGAGUGAACGUUGUCACCUGCACUUUAGAGGAAAACCCUGCCCAGAUUUUGAGGUGUGGCCCUGCUCAGGCUGGACAGAGUGGGGAUCUCUGCUCUGCUGCUGGGUUCCAGCCCCAGCCUUUGUGUGGAGUGCAAUCAUCAGCAAUUACCCACGUGCCCAGCAUCGUGUCAGCUCCUCACAGCUCACAGCCACACCAGGGAAGGCUCCUGAGAGAAGGGUGACAAUAACGUGAUGCAAGCCCUCAGCAGCUGGAUUCUUGGCACUUCACUUGGCUUCUGAUUCUUUAAAAUGUUCUUUCCUUGGGGAAUUUUAUUUGCAUGAAAACACAGCACAAUAAUUUGAUGACUGCUCACCCUCAUGAUGUGCAGAGAAACAAAGCAGCUCAAGAGUGAGCUAAGCAAUCAGUUAUAUUUAAUUUUUUUCCUGAAAUCACACCUCUUUCACUUUUUUCCCUCUGCUGUGACUUACAAAAGUGCCUUACAGUGCAGCUGGGUUAUGCAGUAAAACGAGGAGCUCAGAGCUGCUAAAAGGACUAUUCUUCUGUGCUCUGGGGAACAAAUAAAUGUCCUGUUCUGCCAUGGCCCGAGAGCUUUUGUGCAGCUCACAGCACAAACCCCACUGCUCCCAGUGCCCAUCCCAGCAUCCCUCCUCAGAGCUCAACCUCACCAAAAUAAUUGGUGUGAAGCAAACAUGCUCAGCCCUCUGCCUUGCCUUGCAGACUGAAGGGAGAAUUGAGAAUUCCCACUUUGUUUGUGGGAAUGGAGGGAGCAGGAAAGCAGGACAGACCCCAGCUGAGGGUGGGCCAU